AGUGAACGCUGGCGGUAGGCCUAACACAUGCAAGUCGAACGGCAGCACAGUAAGAGCUUGCUCUUACGGGUGGCGAGUGGCGGACGGGUGAGGAAUACAUCGGAAUCUACUUUUUCGUGGGGGAUAACGUAGGGAAACUUACGCUAAUACCACAUACGACCUACGGGUGAAAGCAGGGGAUCUUCGGACCUUGCGCGAUUGAAUGAGCCGAUGUCGGAUUAGCUAGUUGGCGGGGUAAAGGCCCACCAAGGCGACGAUCCGUAGCUGGUCUGAGAGGAUGAUCAGCCACACUGGAACUGAGACACGGUCCAGACUCCUACGGGAGGCAGCAGUGGGGAAUAUUGGACAAUGGGCGCAAGCCUGAUCCAGCAAUACCGCGUGGGUGAAGAAGGCCUUCGGGUUGUAAAGCCCUUUUGUUGGGAAAGAAAAGCAGCAGGUUAAUACCCCGCUGUUCUGACGGUACCCAAAGAAUAAGCACCGGCUAACUUCGUG
Molecule: ribosomal RNA, 492 nt
Filed under: uncultured bacterium
Lineage: Bacteria
Description: partial 16S ribosomal RNA
Rfam family: Bacterial small subunit ribosomal RNA
Source: RNAcentral